UAGGGAAUCUUGCGCAAUGGGCGAAAGCCUGACGCAGCGACGCCGCGUGAGGGAUGACGGCCUUCGGGUUGUAAACCUCUUUCAGCAGGGACGAAGCCUCACGGUGACGGUACCUGCAGAAGAAGCCCCGGCCAACUACGUGCCAGCAGCCGCGGUAAUACGUAGGGGGCAAGCGUUGUCCGGAUUUAUUGGGCGUAAAGAGCUCGUAGGCGGCCGUCCACGUCGGGUGUGAAAGCUCGGGGCUCAACCCCGAGAUGCCAUUCGAUACGGGACGGCUAGAGGCAGGUAGGGGAGAUUGGAAUUCCUGGUGUAGCGGUGAAAUGCGCAGAUAUCAGGAGGAACACCGGUGGCGAAGGCGGAUCUCUGGGCCUUGCCUGACGCUGAGGAGCGAAAGCUGGGGGAGCGAACAG
RNAcentral lists this ribosomal RNA (410 nucleotides) under uncultured bacterium. RNAcentral describes it as "bacterial SSU rRNA". It matches the Rfam family "Bacterial small subunit ribosomal RNA", at positions 355 to 775 of the family's 1533-position model. The record is from RNAcentral.